CCUGGUGGCUCAGACGGUAAAGAAUCUGCCUGCAAUGCAGGAGGCCCAGGUUCAAUCCCUGGGUCAGGA
RNAcentral lists this transfer RNA (69 nucleotides) under Bos taurus (domestic cattle). It matches the Rfam family "tRNA". From Rfam's summary of the family: Transfer RNA (tRNA) molecules are approximately 80 nucleotides in length. Their secondary structure includes four short double-helical elements and three loops (D, anti-codon, and T loops). The record is from Rfam by way of RNAcentral. RNAcentral also lists the same sequence under 3 other names. Lineage: Eukaryota; Metazoa; Chordata; Mammalia; Artiodactyla; Bovidae.